This 468-nucleotide ribosomal RNA is filed under the name uncultured bacterium. RNAcentral describes it as "partial 16S ribosomal RNA". It matches the Rfam family "Bacterial small subunit ribosomal RNA", at positions 28 to 507 of the family's 1533-position model. The record is from RNAcentral.
GACGAACGCUGGCGGCGUGCUUAACACAUGCAAGUCGAACGGAAAGGCCCUGCUUUUGUGGGGUGCUCGAGUGGCGAACGGGUGAUUAACACGUGAGUAACCUGCCCUUGACUUUGGGAUAACUUCAGGAAACUGGGGCUAAUACCGGAUAGGAGCUCCUGCUGCAUGGUGGGGGUUGGAAAGUUUCGGCGGUUGGGGAUGGACUCGCGGCUUAUCAGCUUGUUGGUGGGGUAGUGGCUUACCAAGGCUUUGACGGGUAGCCGGCCUGAGAGGGUGACCGGCCACAUUGGGACUGAGGUACGGCCCAGACUCCUACGGGAGGCAGCAGUGGGGAAUAUUGCACAAUGGGCGGAAGCCUGAUGCAGCAACGCCGCGUGCGGGAUGACGGCCUUCGGGUUGUAAACCGCUUUCGCCUGUGACGAAGCGUGAGUGACGGUAAUGGGUAAAGAAGCACCGGCUAACUACGUG